GACGAACGCUGGCGGCGUGCUUAACACAUGCAAGUCGAACGGAAAUGCUCUGCUUCUGUGGGGUGCCCGUGAGGCGAAAGGGUGAGUAACACGUGCGUAACCUGCACUCGACUUCGGGCUAACUUCAGGAAACUGGGGCUACUACCGGACAGGUGCUACUGCUGCAUGAUGAUGGUUGGCACGUUUCGGCGGUGGGGGAUGGACGUGCGGUUUAUCAGCUUGUUGGUGGAGUAGUGGCUUACCAAGGCUUUGGCGGGUAGCCGGCCUGAGAGGGUGAUCGGCGACAUUGGGACUGAGGGACGGCCCAGACUGCUACGGGAGGCAGCAGUGGAGAGUAUUAUGCAAUAAGGGGAAGCCUGAUGCAGCAGCGCCGCGUGCGGGAUGACGGCCUUCGGGUUGUGAACGUCUGUCACCGGUAACGUUGCGGGAGUGACGGUAAUGAGUAAGGAAGCACCUGCUAACUACGUG
This 468-nucleotide ribosomal RNA is filed under the name uncultured bacterium. RNAcentral's name for it is "partial 16S ribosomal RNA". It matches the Rfam family "Bacterial small subunit ribosomal RNA", at positions 28 to 507 of the family's 1533-position model. The record is from RNAcentral.